AGAGUUUGAUCCUGGCUCAGAACGAACGCUGGCGGUAUGCUUAACACAUGCAAGUCGAACGAGAAAGCACCUUCGGGUGUGAGUAGAGUGGCGCACGGGUGAGUAACACGUAGGUGACCUACCUUACAGUGGGGGAUAACUCCGAGAAAUUGGAGCUAAUACCGCAUACGAUAAACGAAAUUGAAAAAGUUUAUGAAAGAGUGCCUCUCCUUGGAAGCAUUCACUGGAAGAUGGGCCUGCGGAGCAUUAGCUUGUUGGUGGGGUAAUGGCCUACCAAGGCGACGAUGCUUAGCUGAUCUGAGAGGAUGAUCAGCCACACUGGAACUGAGACACGGUCCAGACUCCUACGGGAGGCAGCAGUGGGGAAUAUUGCGCAAUGGGGGAAACCCUGACGCAGCAAUGCCGCGUGAGUGAGGAAGGCCUUCGGGUUGUAAAGCUCUGUCAGAUAGGAAGAACGGCAUAGGGUCUAAUAGGCCUUGUGAGUGACGGUACUAUCAAAGGAAGCACCGGCUAACUUCGUGCCAGCAGCCGCGGUAAUACGAAGGGUGCAAGCGUUGUUCGGAUUUACUGGGCGUAAAGCGCGCGCAGGCGGAUAAAUAAGUCAGAUGUGAAAUCUCGGGGCUCAACCCCGAAACUGCGUCUGGAACUGUUUGUCUAGAAUCUUAGAGAGGGAAGGGGAAUUUCGCAUGUAGGGGUAAAAUCCGUAGUGAUGCGAAGGAACACCAGGGGCGAAGGCGCCUUCCUGGAUAAGUAUUGACGCUGAGGCGCGAAAGCGUGGGGAGCAAACAGGAUUAGAUACCCUGGCCACGCCGUAAACGAUGAGCACUAGAUAUGGGGGGAUUGACCCCUUCCGUGUCGUAGCUAACGCAUUAAGUGCUCCGCCUGGGGAGUACGGUCGCAAGACUAAAACUCAAAGGAAUUGACGGGGGCCCGCACAAGCGGUGGAUUAUGUGGUUUAAUUCGAAAGCAAGGCGCAGAACCUUACCUGGGCUUGAAAUCCCGAGAAGAUCGACCCAAAAUUGAUUGUGCUCUUCGGAGAACUCGGUGACAGGCGCGGAAUGGGUGGCAGCCCGGUUGUAGAAGUGGGGGGUAAUUUCCCCAACCACCGCCCCCCCCUUUUUUUUUUCCCCCCCCAAAAAAGGGGGCCCCCAAAAAAAGAGACUGCCCGGGUUAACCGGGAGGAAGGUGGGGAUGACGUCAAGUCCUCAUGGCCCUUAUGCCUAGGGCUACACACGUAAUACAAUGGUGCACACAAAGGGAAGCGAUCACGCGAGUGUUAGCAAAUCUCAAAAAGUGCAUCUCAGUCCGGAUUGGAGUCUGCAACUCGACUCCAUGAAGUUGGAAUCGCUAGUAAUCGCAGAUCAGCACGCUGCGGUGAAUACGUUCCCGGGCCUUGUACACACCGCCCGUCACACCAUGAGAGUUGACCUUACCUGAAGCCGUGGCCCUAACUUUUAGAGGGGAGCGUCUACGGUCGGGUCGAUGACUGGGGUGAAGUCGUAACAAGGUA
Molecule: ribosomal RNA, 1510 nt
Filed under: uncultured prokaryote
Description: partial 16S ribosomal RNA
Rfam family: Bacterial small subunit ribosomal RNA
Source: RNAcentral